AUCUGAAACUGACACUCAAGCCCUGGCACCUGUGUCGCAAGAUAUGGUGCCCUGGCCGUGGCGAUGCGUCGCCACCAGGGUGCAGAAAGAAAUGCCUGCAUCUCCCGUAUUUGGAAAGGUGUACAUGGUCUCUCAAC
Molecule: non-coding RNA, 137 nt
Filed under: Mangrovibacter sp. MFB070
Lineage: Bacteria; Pseudomonadati; Pseudomonadota; Gammaproteobacteria; Enterobacterales; Enterobacteriaceae
Also listed under: 1 other name
Description: Molybdenum/Tungsten riboswitch aptamer (Moco RNA motif)
Rfam family: Molybdenum/Tungsten riboswitch aptamer (Moco RNA motif)
Source: Rfam by way of RNAcentral